GACGAACGCUGGCGGCGUGCUUAACACAUGCAAGUCGAACGGAAAGGCCCUGCUUUUGUGGGGUGCUCGAGUGGCGAACGGGUGAGUAACACGUGAGUAACCUCCCCUUGACUUUUGAAUAACUUCAGGAAACUGGGGCUAAUACCGGAUAGGAGCUCCUGCUCCAUGGUGGGGGUUGGAAAGUUUCGGCGGUUGGGGAUGGACUCGCGGCUUAUCAGCUUGUUGGUGGGGGAGUGGCUUACCAAGGCUUUGACGGGUAGCCGGCCUGAGAGGGUGACCGGCCACAUUGGGACUGAGAUACGGCACAGACUACUACGGGAGGCAGCGGUGGGGAAUGUUGCACAAUGGGCGGAAGCCUGAUGCAGCAACGCAGCGUGCGGGAUGACGGCAAUCGGGUUGUAAACCGCUUUCGCCUGGGACGAAGCGAGAGUGACGGUAAUGGGUAAAGAAGCACCGGCUAACUACGUG
RNAcentral lists this ribosomal RNA (468 nucleotides) under uncultured bacterium. RNAcentral describes it as "partial 16S ribosomal RNA". It matches the Rfam family "Bacterial small subunit ribosomal RNA", at positions 28 to 507 of the family's 1533-position model. The record is from RNAcentral.